UACGGAGGAUGCGAGCGUUAUCCGGAUUUAUUGGGUUUAAAGGGUGCGUAGGCGGGAUGCCAAGUCAGCGGUAAAAAUGCGGUGCUCAACGCCGUCGAGCCGUUGAAACUGGCGUUCUUGAGUGGGCGAGAAGUACGCGGAAUGCGUGGUGUAGCGGUGAAAUGCAUAGAUAUCACGCAGAACUCCGAUUGCGAAGGCGGCAUACCGGCGCCCUACUGACGCUGAGGCACGAAAGCGUGGGUAUCGAACAGG
RNAcentral lists this ribosomal RNA (252 nucleotides) under uncultured bacterium. RNAcentral's name for it is "partial 16S ribosomal RNA". It matches the Rfam family "Bacterial small subunit ribosomal RNA", at positions 524 to 776 of the family's 1533-position model. The record is from RNAcentral.